GGGGUUUUGUCAGGCAACGAGCGAGACCCACACUCCUAAUUGCCAGCAACACGCUUGUCGUGGUUGGGUACCUUAGGAGGACUGCCGCUGCUAAAGCGGAGGAAGGAAUGGGCAACGGUAGGUCAGUAUGCCCCGAAUGUGCUGGGGUACACGCGGGCUACAAUGGACAGGACAAUGGG
This 179-nucleotide ribosomal RNA is filed under the name uncultured haloarchaeon. Its description in RNAcentral is "partial 16S ribosomal RNA". It matches the Rfam family "Archaeal small subunit ribosomal RNA", at positions 1020 to 1202 of the family's 1478-position model. Lineage: Archaea; Methanobacteriati; Methanobacteriota; Halobacteria; Halobacteriales; Halobacteriaceae. The record is from RNAcentral.